Molecule: long non-coding RNA, 583 nt
Organism: Lolium perenne
Lineage: Eukaryota; Viridiplantae; Streptophyta; Magnoliopsida; Poales; Poaceae
Source: RefSeq, a predicted model, not a curated record
UAGAAAUAGAAAUGAAUCCCCCGUUCAACCCUAAGCUACCUGGGCAGGCGACGGUGAUCGUCGACGGCGGGGGACGGAGGAGGAGACGUAGACGGAGGCGGGAGAGGUUAGGAAGGAGGAGGCAGAGGCAGUCCUUAUUGGAUCGACUGAAGGUUGGGUGGCUCGAAUCAGAGGUCAGCAUCUGGGCGGAAGGCGACGGCUGGGCGACGGUUACCGGCGAAAUUUAUUGGAAUCAGACGGCGACGCCGACGGCACCAAUUUGGUCUGAUGUUGGUCCACAGAACCAGUACCAGUUCAUCAGGGGAAGAUACCAAACAGAAGUAGAAGAUGACAGUGUAAAACUGGUGAGGAAGGAAGCAUGAGAUACAGGAACUGAAGGCAGAGAAGAAGAAAAUGCUUAGAAAUCACAGAGCAGAGAUGAGAAAUAGAGGUAAGAAGGAAAUGUUGAUUGUGUCUGUAGUAGCAACUCCUCUGUAUGACUCUGUUGCUUUGGUCACCAGGUUUUUUGUGUGACCAAGCACAAGAAUGUAUCAGCUUUGUGUGCUAUUGUAUCCAUGUACACGAUGUUAACUGGAAUAAGAAU